UACGGGGGGGGCAAGCGUUGUUCGGAAUUACUGGGCGUAAAGGGCUCGUAGGCGGCCAACUAAAGUCGGAUGUGAAAUCCCCAGGCUCAACUUGGGAACUGCAUCCGAUACUGGAUGGCUUGAAUUCGGGAGAGGGAUGCAGAAUUCCAGGUGUAGCGGUGAAAUGCGUAGAUAUGCGGAGGAACACCGAUGGCGAAGGCAAUCCCCUGGACCUGUACUGACGCUCAUGCACGAAAGCGUGGGGAGCAAACAGG
RNAcentral lists this ribosomal RNA (254 nucleotides) under uncultured bacterium. RNAcentral describes it as "partial 16S ribosomal RNA". It matches the Rfam family "Bacterial small subunit ribosomal RNA", at positions 524 to 776 of the family's 1533-position model. The record is from RNAcentral.